GAAGAACCAGAAGGAGCCGCAAGCUGGAUCCUAGCCAUUGGAAGUCUUCCUAAGGGUCUGUCCGUGGGUCUGUGUGCUGCUUCUGCACUGGAUGAUUUACAAAGGCAUCAAAGAAGCAAAGACUCAAAUGGGAACCAAAAAUAGGCCGACGAAACAAGAAGUUGGCCUACAGGGUCCCUAAACUUUUUGGGUCAGUGGGCAAAUUUGGAAUUUUGAGUGUCAAAGGCACCCUCAUUACAUGGAGGCCAUGAGGGCAAGAGGCUAGUAUAUUCAUUAAAUGGCCACCAUGGCCCAUCACAAAUGACUCAUUUCCAGAAGACAAGCCGGUGAGACUAAAAUAGAAGUAACUUGCCCAAGAAACUAGAUGCAAGCUAAGGGAAGGGUCUGAGCUCUGAACACAAAACUACUCUUUUGAACCCAAAUAAAGUCGGUGCUGGAAGGCAGCUCUUUGCUCUCCAGUCUGCCAGUCUUCCAGGUUAAAGAAGAAAUGUAAUGAAAUAAAAAUCACAAGGUGCAGGAAA
Long non-coding RNA from Elgaria multicarinata webbii, 521 nucleotides. RefSeq lists it as uncharacterized. The transcript has 2 exons. The record is from RefSeq and is a predicted model, not a curated record. NCBI's taxonomy places the organism in Eukaryota, Metazoa, Chordata, Lepidosauria, Squamata, Anguidae.